Molecule: ribosomal RNA, 3050 nt
Filed under: Candidatus Dojkabacteria bacterium
Lineage: Bacteria
Description: 23S ribosomal RNA
Rfam family: Bacterial large subunit ribosomal RNA
Source: RNAcentral
GAUUAAAGCAACUCAAGAGUGUAUGGUGGAUGUCUUGGUUGAAAAAGCUGAAGAAGGACGUGGUAGCCUGCGAUAAGCUUCGGGGAGCUGGCAAACAAGCUGUGAUCCGAAGAUGUCCGAAUGGGGGAACCCAUCCCGAGUAACAUCGGGAUACCUUAUGUCGAAUACAUAGGCAUAGAGGGAGAAAGCUGGUGAACUGAAACAUCUCACUAACCAGAAGAAAAAAUACCGAAUGGUAUUCCCUUAGUAGUGGCGAGCGAACGGGGAUCAGCCCAAACUCAACAGGUAGGUAGAAGAAGAUGCGUCUGCUUUGCGGACAAUUUUUCGGAUACACCCGUGCAGGGGUGGUUACAGUUGGGUGUUGUAGGAGGUAAACGUUGCUAUACUGCAAAGUAGCAGAACAAGUGAUAAAUCUUAUUUCUAAUAGAACACGGUUGGAAAGCCAGACCAUAGAGGGUAAUAGUCCCGUAUAUGAAAGGAAUAAGACUUGUUGGUUUACGAUCCUGAGUACCACGAUCAAUGUAGGAUUUUGUGGGAAUCAACACGAACCAUCGUGUAAGGCUAAACACUUUUUCAAACCGAUAGUGGACAAGUACCGAGAGGGAAAGAUGAAAAGUACCCCUGAUAGGGGAGUGAAAUAGUUCCUAAAACCAUAUACUUACAAACAGUGGGAGCCACGUUUACGUGGUGACCGCGUGCCUAUUGAAGAAUGAGCCUGCGAGUUAUUCUAUGUUGCUUGCUUAAACUGUUUUGCAGUGUAGGCGCAGCGAAAGCGAGUCUGAAAGGGCGCGUGUAGCAUAGAAUAGACCCGAAACCGAGUGAUCUACGCAUGAGCAGGUUGAAUCUCGAUGAGAAUCGAGAGGAGGACCGAACCAGUGAAUGUUUCAAAAUUCUUGGAUGACUUGUGUGUAGCGGUGACACGCCAAACGAACUCGGAAAUAGCUGGUUCUCCUCGAAAUAACUUUAGGGUUAGCCUUGGUGUUAAAUUCUUACGGGGGUAGAGCACUGAUUGGAUUGUGGGGGGUAUAUACCUUACUGCGUUCUCUCAAACUCCGAAUACCGUAAGUUUUUUACCAGGAGUUAGACUAUGGGGGCUAAGCUCCAUCAGUCGAAAGGGAAACAGCCCAGAUCAUCAGCUAAGGUCCUUAAAUUUAUGCUCAGUGGGAAAGGAUGUGAAAUUUCUUAAACAGCCAGGAGGUUCGCUUAGAGGCAGCUAUCCUUUAAAGAGUGCGUAACAGCUCACUGGUCGAGAGAUUUUGCGCCGACAAUUCAACGGGGCUAAAGCAUAAUACCGAAGCCAUGACUUUAUGUACCUAUGGUACAUAAGGGGUAGAGGAGCAUUGUGUUCAGCUGUGAAGGUGUACUGUAAAGUAUGCUGGAGCGUACACAAGAGAGAAUGCAGGCAUGAGUAGCGUAAUCUCGGUGAAAACCCGGGACACCGAAUAUCUAAGGUUUCCACAGCAAUGUCAGUCAUCUGUGGGUUAGUCGGUCCUAAGUCAAGGCCGAAUGGCGUAGACGAUGGACAACUGGUUAAUAUUCCAGUACCGCCUUUAAUUCGUUAUUAGUUAAGGAAGGACUAAAUGUGCAACUUCCAAGCCUCGACAGGUCGGGGUAUAAAUAGUAAGCCAGUCUGAUUUGGUAAAUCCGGUCAGGCGAAAUCUCUGCUUCGGCGGAAAAUAGGUGAGCUAUGAUGUAGAACUGAAGCGCAAGCGGAUGUGAUUUGGAAUAGUAUGUUUACAAGAAAAUUUUCUAUACGAGAAUUAAGGGUGACCGUACCGCAAACCGACACUGGUAGAUUGGUAGAGUAUACCAAGGUGUACGGAUGAUCCUUUGUUAAGGAACUCGGCAAAUUACUACCGUACGUUCGCAAUAAGGUAGCCCCGGAAAGCGCUUGCGCUUAUACGGGGGGCACAUAAGAGGCUCGAUCGACUGUUUAACAAAAACACAGGUUCCUGCUAACCCGUAAGGGGAUGUAUAGGAGCUGACGCCUGCCCAAUGCCAGAAGAUUACGGAAGGAGGUUAUCUGCCUUUGGCAGAGAAGCUUCCAACUUAAGUCCUGGUGAAUGGCGGCUGUAACUAUAACGGUCCUAAGGUAGCGAAGUUCCUCGGCGCUUAAUAGGCGUCCCGCAUGAAGGGCGUAACGAGUUGGGCACUGUCUUAACAAGGAGUCCGGCGAAAUUGAAGUGGCGGUGAAGAUGCCGUCUACCCGCACCUGGACAAAAAGACCCCGGGAUCUUUACUGUAUCUUGACAUUGAAAUAAAGGUUAAGUUGUAGAGCGUAGGAGGGAGACUUUGAAGUCUCAGCGCUAGCUGGGAUGGAGUCAAGCAUGCAACACCUCCCUUCGUUUCUUUUGUUUCUAACCAUCUUCCGUAAGCCGGAAAUGAGACAGUGUCAGGUGGGCAGUUUGACUGGGGCGGUUUCAUACUAAAGGAUAACGUAUGAUUGCAAAGGUCGACUCAAGCUGGAUGGAAAUCAGCUGAAGAGCAUAAUGGUAUAAGUCGGCUUUACUGUGAGAGGGACACCUCGAGCAGUCACGAAAGUGGGCCAUAGUGACCCUUUGGCAACAAAUGGGAGUGCCAUUGUUUAAAGGAUAAAAGUUACCCCGGGGAUAACAGGCUAGUCUUGCCCAAGCGCUCAUAGCGACGGCAAGGUUCGGCACCUCGAUGUCGGCUCGUCGUAUCCUGGAGCUGGAUAAGGUUCCAAGGGUUGGGCUGUUCGCCCAUUAAAACGGCACGUGAGCUGGGUUCAAACCGACGUGAGUCAGGUUGGUCUCUAUCCGGUGUGGGCGUUCGAAUUCUGAGGAGAUUGCUCCCUAGUACGAGAGGAUCGGGAGGAGGUAGCCUCUAGUGCACCAGUUGUUCCACCAGGAGCAUCGCUGGGUAGCUACGCUGCUAUUGUGAUAAGCGCUGAAAGCAUAUAAGCGUGAAGCCAGCUCCAAGAUGAGAAUUCGUCUGAGACCUGCGGAAGACUACCGCGUUGAUAGGCUCUAGGUGUAAGCACAGUAAUGUGUUUAGCCAAGGAGUACUAAUCGGUCGAAAGCUUUAGUUUC